CCUACGGGAGGCAGCAGUGGGGAAUAUUUCACAAUGGGCGAAACCCUGAUGCAGCGACGCCGCGUGAGUGAAGAAGGCCUUCGGGACGUAAAGCUCUAUCAUCAGGGAAGAAAAUGACGGUACCUGACUCAGAAGCCCCGGCUAACUACGUGCCAGCAGCCGCGGUAAUACGUAGGGGGCCAGCGUUAUCCGGAUUUACUGGGGGUAAAGGGAGCGUAGACGGCAGCGCAAGUCUGGAGUGAAAUCCCAUGGCUUAACCAUGGAACUGCUUUGGAAACUGUGCAGCUAGAGUGCAGGAGAGGUAAGCGGAAUGCCUAGUGUAGCGGUGAAAUGCGUAGAUAUUAGGAGGAACGCCAGUGGCGAAGGCGGCUUACUGGACUGUAACUGACGUUGAGGCUCGAAAGCGUGGGGAGCAAACAGGAUUAGAUACCCCUGUAGUC
Molecule: ribosomal RNA, 440 nt
Filed under: uncultured bacterium
Lineage: Bacteria
Description: partial 16S ribosomal RNA
Rfam family: Bacterial small subunit ribosomal RNA
Source: RNAcentral